ACUCCUGCGGGAGGCAGCAGUGGGGAAUUUUGGACAAUGGGCGAAAGCCUGAUCCAGCAAUGCCGCGUGAGUGAAGAAGGCCUUCGGGUUGUAAAGCUCUUUUGUCAGGGAAGAAACGGUGAAAGCUAAUAUCUUUUGCUAAUGACGGUACCUGAAGAAUAAGCACCGGCUAACUACGUGCCAGCAGCCGCGGUAAUACGUAGGGUGCAAGCGUUAAUCGGAAUUACUGGGCGUAAAGCGUGCGCAGGCGGUUUUGUAAGUCUGAUGUGAAAUCCCCGGGCUCAACCUGGGAAUUGCAUUGGAGACUGCAAGGCUAGAAUCUGGCAGAGGGGGGUAGAAUUCCACGUGUAGCAGUGAAAUGCGUAGAUAUGUGGAGGAACACCGAUGGCGAAGGCAGCCCCCUGGGUCAAGAUUGACGCUCAUGCACGAAAGCGUGGGGACCAAACAGGAUUAGAAACCCCGGUAGUCCCA
RNAcentral lists this ribosomal RNA (471 nucleotides) under uncultured organism. Its description in RNAcentral is "partial 16S ribosomal RNA". It matches the Rfam family "Bacterial small subunit ribosomal RNA", at positions 335 to 797 of the family's 1533-position model. The record is from RNAcentral.